Molecule: ribosomal RNA, 271 nt
Filed under: uncultured archaeon
Lineage: Archaea
Description: partial 16S ribosomal RNA
Rfam family: Archaeal small subunit ribosomal RNA
Source: RNAcentral
CUGCGCCACAAGUGGGAGUCACGAUUAUUGGGCCUAAAGCGUCCGUAGCCGGUUUUGCAAAUCUUUUGUGAAAUUGCUGAGCUUAACUCAGCAGCGUGCAGAAGACACUACAAGACUUGGAACCAGGAGGAGUCAGAAGGAUGCUGGGGGGAGCGGUAAAAUGCUAUAAUCCCCGGUAGACUACCUGUGGCGAAGGCGUCUGACUAGAAUGGAUUCGACGGUGAGGGACGAAAGCUAGGGGAGCGAUCCGGAUUAGAGACCCGAGUAGUCC